UUGUUGAAUUUGAUUAAAAUCAUGAUUACGAAUUUUGUGUUUGCGUGUUUCAGUUGGGGGAAAUUGUGGUAUUUUGGGCGAUCGAAGGUGAACUUGAUGCAGUAGGGUGUAGAUAAAUUUUUGAAUUGAUGAUUUUGUGGGUCUGUGGAUUUUCUAGGUUUUGGCUCCCAAAGUUGAAUUUUGGGAUUUUUUUCUUGAGCUGGGCUGUUUAUAUGUUUAAGUAGGGUUUUUUUUGGGGGAGCAACUGAAAUUCGUGAUGGAUAGCAACAAAGAUGAGGCGUUGAGAUGUAUAAACAUUGCGAAAGAGGCAAUUGCAGCAGGUAAUAAGCAAAGAGCCGUGAAAUU
RNAcentral lists this long non-coding RNA (345 nucleotides) under Salvia miltiorrhiza (redroot sage). RNAcentral's name for it is "long non-coding RNA (SMIL_LNC003673)". The record is from RNAcentral. Lineage: Eukaryota; Viridiplantae; Streptophyta; Magnoliopsida; Lamiales; Lamiaceae.